UUCAUUGUUCCUCUACUCUAUAUUUUUGAAGUCAAGAAAAGCAGUCAGAAAACUACCACCGCAAGCCGGAGGUGCGUGGCCGAUAAUCGGUCACCUACCCUUGUUAGUACGUUCGUCUGAGCCACUACAUGUGGUGAUAGCUCAAUUGGCGGACACGUAUGGACCGAUCUUCACUUUCAUGUUCGGAGUGAAGAGAACCCUAGUUUUGAGCAGCUCGGAAAUGGCGAAAGAGUGCUUAAAGACCUACGACAAAGUGUUUGCUAGCCGUGUAAGCUCUUUAGCCUCAGAAAUCUUGGGCUACAACUAUGCCUUCUUUCCCUUCAGCUCUUACGGCUACUACUUUAGUCAUGUACAGAAGAUGGUCAUGGCGGAGGUCUUAUCCCCCCACCGCGUCGAGAUGCUCAAACACUUAAGAGAAUCCGAAGUGAGUGCAUCGAUGAAAGAAAUAUACGAUCGGUGGACGAAGAACAACAAGAGUAGUGGUUCCGAUAAGGUGGUGGUACCGAUGAAAGACUGGUUUGCGGAAAUAAACCAGAACGUGGUCUUUAGAAUGAUUAUCGGGAAACGAAUUUCAGAAGCUACAAAUUACACCCAUGGAGACUUGAUAGGGAGAGAGGUAUUCAAGGAUUGGCUUCGACUGAAUGCUACUUUUGUACUGUCGGAUGCGCUUCCGUUCUUGAGGUGGUUGGAUUUGGGUGGCCAUGAGAAGACCAUGAGGAAGGUAGCAAAGGAGGUAGAUCAAGUGCUUCAAGGAUGGUUAGAAGAGCAUAAGCAGAAGAAAAAGAGGACUGUUUCUAAUGGAGUGAAAGGUGAUGAGGAGGAGCGUGACUUCAUGGAUUUGAUGCUUUCAGUUCUUGAUGAUGCAAAAGUUACCAAUUCUUUUGAAGCUGACAUUAUCAACAAAGCUACCUCACUGGUACGUAUGUGCAGUUUAGCAUUUAAUUGUUUAAAUUUUCAUUUUUGCUUUCUUUUCUUACACAUUCAUCUUUAUUUAUUUAUGACCAUCAGAUUGAAUAAAUGAGUAACGUUAAGAAGACAUAUUUAUAACACAUUAGUGUAUAUAUCAUCUUAAUAUCUUUAUGUGUCAACUAAUGCAUAUAACCAAUAUCCCAUGAGAUAAACUCAUUAAUUGACGUAGUAUCAUUUACAACAUCAGAUUGUAUACAAAUGUAUCACAAAAAAGUAGUCUCCUCAGCAUUUUCCUUACUGAAUGCAUCUAAUAAUUCUAUCGCCCUUCAUCGAUAAGCAUAGGGUUUCAUUUAUUAGAAAGUGUGUCUGCAAGUGUGUAAAUUUUGUUUGUACAAAUACUAUUGUUGAAUUUUACGUACUUCUCUUGCAGAGUCUUCUUCUAGCAGGUGUAGAUGUGACGACAGGGACAUUAACAUGGGCACUGUCUCUACUUCUUAACAGCCCUAAAACUCUAAAAAAAGUCCAGGAAGAGAUAGACCAAAAUAUUGGCAGAGAGAGGGCAGUAAAAGAAUCGGACGUCGACAACUUAGUCUAUCUCCAAGCCGUUAUCAAAGAAACGCUCCGUUUAUACCCUCCCGGACCAACCUUAUUGCCCCAUGCAUCCAAUGAAGAUUGCGUUCUAGCCGGCUACCAUAUCCCAGCAAACACUCGCGUCCUCGUCAACGUAUGGAAGAUUCAUCGAGACCCGAAGGUCUGGCCCGAUCCAAAUGAGUUUCGACCUGAACGAUUCUUCACAACACACAGCUACAUUGAUAUUAAAGGUCAGGAUUUUGAGUUGAUACCGUUUGGCAGUGGAAGAAGAAUGUGCGCCGGAAUAGCACUUGCCCUCAGGAUUAUGCCAUUGACACUCGCUUCUUUGCUUCAUGGAUUUGAAAUCGCAACUCCGACGGGUGAACCAGUUGACAUGCGUGAGUCGAUGGAAUUUACCAACCAUAGAACCUCCCAACUUGACGUCCUUCUCACUCCGCGCCUUCCUGCUCAAGUAUACGAAGAGUAUGGUAAAUAAGGCAAAUCUGCUUUGCUGGUAUUUAGGGCACAGGUUACAUGCAAGUGAUGACUAGAGUAUUCAUAAACUCACGGGGGGCAUCACUACGUUUUGCAUUAAUUUGGUCACCUCUGGAAUUAUGUUACUAAAUCAUGGUUAAGUAUUUGUUUUAAGGGGAUUUUAGAUCUUAAUAAAUAAAAAAACCUUGUGCUACUGUUAGAUCUAAUUCAGGUGCUUUUCUUGAUGACUAAGGUACACAAACUUUGGUUUUUGUUUUCUUAUUAUAACAUGGAUUUUUUUUUUUGUUUUGGUCCAUAAAUGUUCUAGUUUUUUUCUAUGCCCAUUUUAUCCCUACAUUGCCAUAAUUGGUGAAUUUCCGAAAUAUAGUAAAUGCGUUGGAGAUUAUUAUUAUUAUUAUUUUGGUGAAUUUCCUUAUCAUUCAUUUCUUUAACAAGUUCCUUCCAGAUCAGAUUUUUUUUUCGUUAAAAAGAAUUUCAUAUUGAAUAUCUAGUCAAAUUACAAGAAAAUGACAAUUAUGGUAAAUGCAAAAAUAAACAAAUAUAAUUCCUUUUUGCCAUUUCAUCCCUAUCUCUUCCUUUAAUGUGUUUGUACUAAGACCAUCUCCAAACUUGGGCUAAAAGCCAAAUUACCACCCAAAUUACCCCCCCAAACACUCUCCAACCCAUCUUAAAAUUUUAGGCUAAAUGCCAAAUAUUAUUUAUGGGCCAAAUACCUCCCAGCUUUCCCCCCGGGCUAAAUGCCAAAUGUUUAUCGAAUUUAAAUUUUUUUCGAUUAAAAUGUUCAUAAAAUUAAUUUACAAUAAUCUACAUAUUUAUUUAUUUUUUUUUAAAAUUGAUUUAAGAAAAAAAUUAGCCUAAGUUCAUUCUUUAAUAAUUCCGGGCUAAAAUUUUAGGGCAGAAGGGUUGGAGCAGAAAAGAUGUUUCUGGGCUAAAAGCCAAAUUUUCCGGGAGCCUAAGGGUUGGAGAUGGUCUAAUAUGGAUUGGAGAAAUUUUUUUUUUUUUUUUUGUGAAUUUCCUUAUCAUUCAUUUCUUUAACAAGUUCCUUCCAGAUCAGAUUUUUUUUUCGUUAAAAAGAAUUUCAUACUGAAUAUCUAGUCAAAUUACAAGAAAAUGACAAUUAUGGUAAAUGCAAAAAUAAACAUAUAUAAUUCUUUUUUGCAAUUUCAUCCCUAUCUCUUCCUUUAAUGUGUUUGUACUAUGGAAUGGAGAUAUUUUUUUUUUUUGGUGAAUUUCCUUAUCAUUCAUUUCUUUAACAAGUUCCUUCCAGAUCGGAUUUUUUGUCUUUAGAAAGAAUUUCAUACUGAAUAUCUAGUCAAAUUACAAGAAAAUGACAAUUAUGGUAAAUGCAAAAAUGAACAAAUAUAAUUCCUUUUUGCCAUUUCAUCCCUAUCUCUUCCUUUAAUGUGUUUGUACUAAUAUGGAAUAAAACGCACAAGGAAUUUACACCCUCCAUUUACCAUAUAUGUUUGGAUACACUGAACCAGAAUAAUUAGAAAGUCUGUAACUUCUCCAAAUUCACUAUAUAAAACAAAACAAAACCCCCAUCCAUAUAUCACUGACAAGACAAACAAGCUAGCUAAGGACUCCCCAUCAAACAAUCUCUAUGGACUUCCACCUACCAUCUCUUGUUCCUUUUGUGGUAGCAUCAUUGGCCUUUUCAUUGUUCCUCUACUCUAUAAUUUUUAAGUCAAGAAAAGCAGUUAGAAAACUACCACCUCAAGCCAGAAGUGCGUGGCCGAUAAUUGGUCACCUACCCUUGUUAGUACGUUCGUCUGAGCCACUACAUGUGGUGAUAGCUCAAUUGGCGGACACAUACGGACCGAUCUUCACUUUCAUGUUCGGAGUGAAGAGAACCCUAGUUUUGAGCAGCUCGGAAAUGGCGAAAGAGUGCUUAAAGACCUACGACAAAGUGUUUGCUAGCCGUGUAAGCUCUUUAGCCUCAGAAAUCUUGGGCUACAACUAUGCC
This 3940-nucleotide long non-coding RNA is filed under the name Malus domestica (apple). RNAcentral describes it as "long non-coding RNA (MDOM_LNC003572)". The record is from RNAcentral. Lineage: Eukaryota; Viridiplantae; Streptophyta; Magnoliopsida; Rosales; Rosaceae.